GACGAACGCUGGCGGCGUGCCUAAUACAUGCAAGUCGAACGCUUCUUUCCUCCCGAGUGCUUGCACUCAAUUGGAAAGAGGAGUGGCGGACGGGUGAGUAACACGCGGGUAACCUACCCAUCAGAGGGGGAUAACACUUGGAAACAGGUGCUAAUACCGCAUAACAGUUUAUGCCGCAUGGCAUAAGAGUGAAAGGCGCUUUCGGGUGUCGCUGAUGGAUGGACCCGCGGUGCAUUAGCUAGUUGGUGAGGUAACGGCUCACCAAGGCCACGAUGCAUAGCCGACCUGAGAGGGUGAUCGGCCACACUGGGACUGAGACACGGCCCAGACUCCUACGGGAGGCAGCAGUAGGGAAUCUUCGGCAAUGGACAGAAGUCUGACCGAGCAACGCCGCGUGAGUGAAGAAGGUUUUCGGAUCGUAAAACUCUGUUGUUAGAGAAGAACAGGGACGUUAGUAACUGAACGUCCCCUGACGGUAUCUAACCAGAAAGCCACGGCUAACUACGUGCCAGCCGCCGCGGUAA
This 524-nucleotide ribosomal RNA is filed under the name uncultured bacterium. RNAcentral's name for it is "partial 16S ribosomal RNA". It matches the Rfam family "Bacterial small subunit ribosomal RNA", at positions 28 to 523 of the family's 1533-position model. The record is from RNAcentral.